Molecule: ribosomal RNA, 461 nt
Filed under: uncultured bacterium
Lineage: Bacteria
Description: bacterial SSU rRNA
Rfam family: Bacterial small subunit ribosomal RNA
Source: RNAcentral
UGAACGCUGGCGGCGUGCCUAUACAUGCGAGUCGAACGGUUGGUCGCAAGACCGAUAGUGGCGAACGGGUGAGUAACGCGUUGGUGACCUGCCCUAAAGUAGGGGGAGUAACAGUCCGAAAGGGACUGCUAAAACCGACAUAAUCUGGUGGAAGACUAGAAAGCUACCAGGAAAAGGCCGAAAGGCGGCUAGAGGAGGGGGCCUGCGUCCCAUCAGCUAGUUGGUAAGGUAACGGCUUACCAAGGCGAUGACGGGUAGGGGACCUGAGAGGGUGACCCCCCACAAUGGAACUGAAACACGGUCCAUACACCUACGGGUGGCAGCAGUAGGGGAUAUUGGUGAAUGGGCGAAAGCCUGAUCCAGCAAUGCCGCGUGAGUGAUGAAGGCCUUCGGGUCGUAAAGCUCUUUUACCAGGGAUGAUAAUGACAGUACCUGGAGAAUAAGCUCCGGCUAACUCCGUG